AUAUCAAUAAGCGGAGGAAAAGAAACCAACAGGGAUUGCCUCAGUAACGGCGAGUGAAGCGGCAACAGCUCAAAUUUGAAAUCUGGGUCUUUCAGGCUCCGAGUUGUAAUUUGUAGAAGAUGCUUCGGGUGUGGCUCCGGUCUAAGUUCCUUGGAACAGGACGUCAUAGAGGGUGAGAAUCCCGUAUGUGACUGGCUGCCUUCGCCCAUGGUGAAGCUCUUUCGACGAGUCGAGUUGUUUGGGAAUGCAGCUCAAAAUGGGUGGUAAAUUUCAUCUAAAGCUAAAUAUUGGCCAGAGACCGAUAGCGCACAAGUAGAGUGAUCGAAAGAUGAAAAGCACUUUGGAAAGAGAGUUAAACAGUACGUGAAAUUGUUGAAAGGGAAGCGCUUGCAACCAGACUUGCACGCUGCUGAUCAUCCGGGGUUCUCCCCGGUGCACUCGGUUGCGUUCAGGCCAGCAUCGGUUUGGGUGGUUGGAUAAAGGCCUUGGGAAUGUAGCUUCUUUCGGGGAGUGUUAUAGCCCUCGGUGCAAUGCAGCCUACCCGGACCGAGGACCGCGCUUCGGCUAGGAUGCUGGCGUAAUGGUUGUAAGCGA
Molecule: ribosomal RNA, 594 nt
Filed under: uncultured fungus
Lineage: Eukaryota; Fungi
Description: eukaryotic LSU rRNA
Rfam family: Eukaryotic large subunit ribosomal RNA
Source: RNAcentral